CCCUGGGUCCCUUUUCUUCCAGGAAGCAUGUGAGAGGGCCUCCUGUACCCUGGCCUCAAACGGCCCAGCCUCAGGAGUUCUCAGUCCAGCCUCAAGCCAGGAGCACCCUCAGGGUCACAGGAGGCUACUUCCAAAGAGGCCUGUGAGGGAGGCCUCAGGCCUGGCCACACCCAGCACCCCUGCCCUGUGUCCUCAACAGCUAAUGUCAGACCAGACCAAAUCUGGGUCUCUG
RNAcentral lists this long non-coding RNA (232 nucleotides) under Homo sapiens (human). Its description in RNAcentral is "HSALNT0054053". The record is from RNAcentral. Lineage: Eukaryota; Metazoa; Chordata; Mammalia; Primates; Hominidae.